This 305-nucleotide ribosomal RNA is filed under the name uncultured bacterium. RNAcentral describes it as "bacterial SSU rRNA". It matches the Rfam family "Bacterial small subunit ribosomal RNA", at positions 333 to 636 of the family's 1533-position model. The record is from RNAcentral.
GAUCUCCUACGGGAGGCAGCAGUGAGGAAUAUUGGUCAAUGGUCGGGAGACUGAACCAGCCAAGCCGCGUGAGGGAGGAAGGUACAGAGUAUCGUAAACCCCUCUUGUCAGGGAACAAAGGCGGGGACGUGUCCCCGGAUGAGUGUACCUGAAGAAAAAGCAUCGGCUAACUCCGUGCCAGCAGCCGCGGUAAUACGGAGGAUGCAAGCGUUAUCCGGAUUUAUUGGGUUUAAAGGGUGCGCAGGCGGUCUGUUAAGUCAGCGGUCAAAGCCCGGGGCUCAACCCCGGCCCGGCGUUGAAACUGG